Molecule: ribosomal RNA, 462 nt
Filed under: uncultured bacterium
Lineage: Bacteria
Description: partial 16S ribosomal RNA
Rfam family: Bacterial small subunit ribosomal RNA
Source: RNAcentral
CCUACGGGGGGCAGCAGUGAGGAAUAUUGGUCAAUGGACGCAAGUCUGAACCAGCCAAGUAGCGUGCAGGAUGACGGCCCUCCGGGUUGUAAACUGCUUUUAGUUGGGAAUAAAAGGGGGCUCGUGAGCCCCGUAUUGUAUGUACCAUCAGAAAAAGGACCGGCUAAUUCCGUGCCAGCAGCCGCGGUAAUACGGAAGGUCCGGGCGUUAUCCGGAUUUAUUGGGUUUAAAGGGAGCGUAGGCCGGCUUUUAAGUCAGCUGUGAAAGUCCGCGGCUCAACCGUGGAAUUGCAGUUGAAACUGGAGGCCGUGAGUGCACACAGGGAUGCCGGAAUUCAUGGUGUAGCGGUGAAAUGCGUAGAUAUAUGGAAGAACACCAGUGGCGAAAGCGGCUCUCUGGUCUGUAACUGACGCUGAGGUUCGAAAGCGUGGGUAGCAAACAGGAUUAGAUACCCUUGUAGUC